RNAcentral lists this ribosomal RNA (425 nucleotides) under uncultured bacterium. RNAcentral describes it as "partial 16S ribosomal RNA". It matches the Rfam family "Bacterial small subunit ribosomal RNA", at positions 354 to 796 of the family's 1533-position model. The record is from RNAcentral.
GUGGGGAAUCUUGCGCAAUGGGCGAAAGCCUGACGCAGCCAUGCCGCGUGAAUGAUGAAGGUCUUAGGAUUGUAAAAUUCUUUCACCGGGGACGAUAAUGACGGUACCCGGAGAAGAAGCCCCGGCUAACUUCGUGCCAGCAGCCGCGGUAAUACGAAGGGGGCUAGCGUUGCUCGGAAUUACUGGGCGUAAAGGGCGCGUAGGCGGACAGUUUAGUCAGAGGUGAAAGCCCAGGGCUCAACCUUGGAAUUGCCUUUGAUACUGGCUGUCUUGAGUUUGGGAGAGGUGAGUGGAACUCCGAGUGUAGAGGUGAAAUUCGUAGAUAUUCGGAAGAACACCAGUGGCGAAGGCGACUCACUGGCCCAAUACUGACGCUGAGGCGCGAAAGCGUGGGGAGCAAACAGGAUUAGAAACCCGGGUAGUCC